AAGAUACUACCUCCGUCCGAAAAUACUUGUCCUAAAGAUGAAUGUAUCUAGACUUAUUUGAAUUGUAGAUACAUCCAUUAUAUGCAUUUUUAGGACAAGUAUUUUCGGACGGAGGGAGUAGUUU
Non-coding RNA from Hordeum vulgare subsp. vulgare (domesticated barley), 124 nucleotides. The record is from Rfam. Lineage: Eukaryota; Viridiplantae; Streptophyta; Magnoliopsida; Poales; Poaceae.